Molecule: ribosomal RNA, 118 nt
Filed under: Staphylococcus aureus
Lineage: Bacteria; Bacillati; Bacillota; Bacilli; Caryophanales; Staphylococcaceae
Description: partial 23S ribosomal RNA
Rfam family: Bacterial large subunit ribosomal RNA
Source: RNAcentral
GAGAUUUCCCAACUUCGGUUAUAAGAUCCCUCAAAGAUGAUGAGGUUAAUAGGUUCGAGGUGGAAGCAUGGUGACAUGUGGAGCUGACGAAUACUAAUCGAUCGAAGACUUAAUCAAA